Molecule: ribosomal RNA, 16 nt
Filed under: Cladonia multiformis
Lineage: Eukaryota; Fungi; Ascomycota; Lecanoromycetes; Lecanorales; Cladoniaceae
Description: partial 28S ribosomal RNA
Source: RNAcentral
UGACCUCGGAUCAGUA